Molecule: ribosomal RNA, 156 nt
Organism: Ceratina calcarata
Lineage: Eukaryota; Metazoa; Arthropoda; Insecta; Hymenoptera; Apidae
Product: 5.8S ribosomal RNA
Exons: 1
Source: RefSeq, a predicted model, not a curated record
UACCCUGAACAGUGGAUCACUUGGCUCGUGGGUCGAUGAAGAACGCAGCUAAAUUGUGCGUCGACGUGUGAAGUGCAGAACACAUGAACAUCGACAUUUCGAACGCACAUUGUGGUCCACGGAUACAAUUCCUGGACCACGCAUGGCUGAGGGUCG